This 460-nucleotide ribosomal RNA is filed under the name uncultured bacterium. RNAcentral describes it as "partial 16S ribosomal RNA". It matches the Rfam family "Bacterial small subunit ribosomal RNA", at positions 338 to 795 of the family's 1533-position model. The record is from RNAcentral.
CCUACGGGAGGCAGCAGUGAGGAAUAUUGGUCAAUGGGCGGGAGCCUGAACCAGCCAAGUCGCGUGAGGGAAGACGGUCCUAUGGAUUGUAAACCUCUUUAGGCGGGGAGCAAUGCCGGGCACGCGUGCCCGGAGGGAGAGUACCCGCAGAAUAAGCAUCGGCUUACUCCGUGGCAGCAGCAGCGGUAAUACGGAGGAUGCGAGUGUUAUGCGGAUCUAUUGGGUUUAAAGGGUGCGUAGGCGGAUUUAUAAGUCAGCGGUAAAAUGUCCGGGCUAAACCCGGGACGGUCGUUGAAACUGGUGAUCUCGAGUGGGUGAGAAGUAUGUGGAAUGCGUGGUGUAGCGGUGAAAUCCAUAGAUAUCACGCAGAACUCCGAUUGCGAAGGCAGGAUACCGGCGCCCGACUGACGCUGAGGCACGAAAGCGUGGGGAUCGAACAGGAUUAGAUACCCCAGUAGUC